AUUUAAAUAGUUUAAAUAAAAAUAAUGAUUUGUGGGGUCAUAGAUGUGAUAAAUAUCAUUUUAAAUU
This 67-nucleotide transfer RNA is filed under the name Bombyx mandarina (wild silkworm). Its description in RNAcentral is "tRNA-His". The record is from RNAcentral. Lineage: Eukaryota; Metazoa; Arthropoda; Insecta; Lepidoptera; Bombycidae.